Molecule: long non-coding RNA, 4984 nt
Organism: Gallus gallus (chicken)
Lineage: Eukaryota; Metazoa; Chordata; Aves; Galliformes; Phasianidae
Exons: 3
Source: RefSeq, a predicted model, not a curated record
AGUCUACAACAAGGAGAAAAAGGAGAACUAAAAGGAUGAAGUGAAGCAAACCAACAGGAUGGGUGUGUUUAACGCAUCAUCACACUGAGACAGCACUCUUCUUCCUACAUUUCACAGUUUUAAAACAUAAUCUGCAUUACCAUGAAGGACAACUUGGAAAGAAGGGGAGAAAAAUAGAUUAGGCUUCAGUCUCCAAACGAGAAGAUUGUUUCCUCACUGAUUUUAUAAGGGUCUGGCUGGAAUGCAGGAAUACCUGAACCAGGUGAGCUGUGUGCCAGAAGCAAAGCGGUCGUGUCAGUACAGUGUUGUAUUCUACAUUAUUUGCUGUCUAUCAUGCUGGGGUUACUGAGGACCAGAGUCUGGAGCACAUGAUUUACAAAGAGAGCCUAAGACAGCUGGAUUUGCUCAGCCUGAAGAGGGGGCUGAGGUGGAAGAUUAUUGCUGUUUUCAGACAUCUAAGAGAACCUGGAUGUGCAUAUCAAAGGGCUCAGGUGCAGCAAACAAAAUACGCAACAAGGGAAAUUCACCUUGGAUAUUGGGAAAGAAACACCCCAAGCACACCAUGGAACACAUUGCCCAGAGAGGCUGCAGUGUCUGUGCGAAGAUACCUGCAGGUGUUGUGGAGCAUCGUGACCACUUUAGAUAACAGGAGAUAGAUUGUUUGCAGAUGGUUCCUGCCCACAUAUCAAGACCACUCCACAAAACCACUCCAAAGAUAAGAACCAGUAACAGCUAGCUUUUUGGGGCUGUAGUCAGCAAAGCAUCUCACAAAGGAACUUUCCAUCCCUAAUAAGGUAAAAAAGAUCAGAGAGUUCAACUAAAGGACACACCAAGAUGACCAGCAGAGGUCCCAGGACCACCGCCACAAUGAGACCAGUUAAGUGCAAGGAGGCAGAACCCUAUGUUAGUGAUUUCAGAUUUAGUGAAUAUGUAUGCACUGUCUGGGAAAAUAUUUACAUAUGUAGCAUAAGCAAUAUAGGUAAGCUGAAGUUCUUUCAUGCCAGAUAUGCAUGUUUAGGUGGAGCUGCCCCCUGUGCACCCGGUGCCACAGUAAAAGAAUGACUGCUUCUCAAUAUCACAUUGGUCUUAAGGAGUUACCUUUCAGGCUGGUGUUUUUAUCUGGUAACACAGCCAUCUUUUACAACCUAAACUGUGCUGUGAUUCUAUAGUUGUGAUGACACAGUUUUCUGGACCCUAGGACCAAGCUAAUCACCUGAUUUAUUUUUGCAAAACUCCGGCUUGUGCCCUCCAAACUGUAGAGUGAUUCCCAAGAUACCGAAUUUAAAACCAUACUGAUGUGGUAAUAUACAAAGAGACCUCUUUGUCAUGAUUGGAUGUAGACUUACCAACCCAACCCCUAAGCUGGGAACCUGGAAAAGGAGUCUGUCUCCACUUAUUUGGACAACGGUUAUUCUUGGUCCAAAACAUGACCCUAAGGAUGUAUCCAAGGCACAAGGGACAUUCAGCAAGGGUGCUCUGAAAAGCUUCUCAUCUGUCAGUGGAACCCUCUCCCUGCUCUUCAGAUGAUCCUGAGUGGGAAGGCAGAUGGAAAGGGAACCUCUGGAAAGGCAAUGGAUGUGACUCUGAGGAGCUAAAGGAGGAACAGAGCAUAGUGGAGGCAGUUCAGUGGAGAGUGACUGAGAGCUUCAGAUACCAUUUGUUAAACAUUUUCUACAAAUGCUAAAACUAUUUUCCUUUAGGGCUGUUGGUGCAUAUGUGAAAAAUUAUGCCGUGGUUAAUUACAAACAUAAGUGUUCUCACCAAAUACAACUGGCUUUCAAGGGGGAAGGGAAGAGAGAGGAAGGGAACAAAAGGGAAACUGUAAGUCCCUAAAAUUAUCCAUAAGUUAUGGAAUGUUAGAUGCCCUUCCAACAGCAGCCUGUGGAGAGAACAUAUAAAUCUGUGCAGGACCCAUCUAGCUAUGUCAAAGUAGAACUGAUCUUUUAGAUAAUCUUUCAAAUAUAUGUAUGUAUCGCUGCAAGGCCUGUAUGAAUAGAAUUUACUUUAAAGAACGUAAAUAUUAAUGAAAAUUUCAGGUUAUUCUUAUUUAUUUAAACUUAUAAAGUUAUGUAUCCCUGAGUCUGAUUCUGAGGAAUGUAAUUAAAGUUACUGGCAUGUAGUUGCAAUCUAAUCCCAAAGUAGAUGUGGAGAGACACCCACUAAUGCAAAACUACUGCAAAUAAGAUCAGAAAAAAACACCAGUAGCUCUUGAGUUGUAACAUCUGAAAUCUAACUAAAAAAAUCUGUAAUCACUAGCUAACUUGAACAGCAAUGACAUCCAAAAUCAUCAGUGAGAUUUGGAUGAGACCUCCAGAGCUUAUCUCUGUGUGACAAAACCUCCAGUUGCCUGAGAGCUUUCAGUGAAGAAUGGCAUUCAAAAUUACCCUCAUUUCUUGCAAAGCUUGAAAGGGAUUAUGAAGGACAAUUGUUGUGGGGUGGGAGUUGGCCUGAUUCGUUCUAAUGAACACCAGGAGAAGUUCACAAGAAACAGAAAGACCAUUGGAUUUUUAUUUUAUUUUUAUUUUAUUUUAUUUUAUUUUUUAAAGGACAGAUAAAGAAAACAAAUAGUGGCCUUGCACAGUUUCUAGGAAACAGAGAUGACUGUUAUUAUGGCAAUUAAAAGUUAGCCCAGGGCAAUUAGAGGACCCUAAAAUGUUUAACUGGGGGAUUGCCACUUCAGAAUGUGCAGUUAAUCCGUGACCUCCUUCAACUGUGUGUUAUUUAACAUCUGUGUUCCACACACUACAAACAAAGAUUACAGGCCACAGCCAAACUAAGUACUCAGCAAGGUAUUUGCUGAUUUAAUGAAUGCUAGGUGGCAGUUUUCUUCUUUGUGCUACAUUCUCUUUAUACUCUUUUUUUUUUUUUUUUUUUGGACAAAUCCUUUGCAUUUUUUUUUUUCUGGGAAGUGAGGAAACAACAAGUCUUUCACUGCACAGUCAAUGAAUAGACCUUUCUUCAUCAAAUUAAAAAUGUGCAGGAUGUAAAGCACAUCCAGACACGUCCAACAGAUGUUCCUCUGUUGUCCUCUUGCUGCAGCAGGGCAAUACUUAAUAACUAACUUUAAAAAAUGGAGGAGGGGGAGAUUGAUACUGGAGAUCCUCAGUCAUGGGACAGGGGGUAAAAACCAGGAGAAAACUUGUGUAAACAGUAAGACUAAAUGACUCGAUUAGCCUUUCUUUUGGUUUUGUAUACAAUCAUAGGCACUGCAGAGAGGGAACGAGAACUACACUUCUUCACAGAAGAGCAAUCUGUAACAAGAAAUAGGUGGAGGAAUAGUUUUCCCUGGUCCACACAGAAAUAGACUUGGAAAUGAUUAUGAAAAACACCUCUAAUAAUGGAAACCAUGGAAAGGUGAAAGGAGGGAACCUCCCAAGAGAUUUUAACUUAUAACAGAUGUUGCAUUUUAGCAACUAGCAAUGGAUAGAAGAGAAACAAACAAGGCAAGCAGCCUAGGGCUAGUCAGUGACCAUUGUACUCUGUCCUGCAAGGAUAAAAUUCUUAGCCUCAGCUCAAGUCAUGAAUUUGUCAGCUGAAGGCAUUGCUGUUCUGAGAAUACACAGCUUCUAGCUCUGUAGCCCCAUUCUUUUCCACGGCCUUUGCAAGCUAUGGCCAGAUCUCAAACAUGAGGUACUAGAAGAGCUCUGCUCAUGGCAGCACAGCUCCACCAGGGGCUGAACACAUCCCUGGUUUGAAAGCCCAGUGAACAGAAACAGAAAAAGUCUCCCGUGCAACAGACAGGGACGGGAGCCCGUGUCAGACUGUACAACAGUGACCUUGUUUCACCGCACCAUGAGCUGCACGUUCUGAUACUUCUGCAAAACAACUGUGGUGAUGAAAUGCACUACCACUGACACACCGCAGGUCUCCGCAGCAAUAGGUGUCUGCUGAUGUACUCAGAAAGCUGUAUGGUAACACCUGGCCUUGUGCUGUAUGUUGCCGAGCAACAACACGGCCGUGGGGUUACAAACUCUGGCUGACAGAGUUUUAUGGAUAAAAAUCCAUGGGGAGCACAGCCUGUGGUUUCAGUGUUUUUACACACUGUUACUAGUUGUCUGUUUUUUUGGGGGGGAAGAGAGGAAUGAUGAACCUCGAUGUUAAUAGAAAAAAGUUCUGAAUUCCUGUAAAAGAGGACUUUGCAGACCACUCUGCACAAGGACAAGCUCGCUGAGGGGUGCACUGCUUCUUUCAGAACUGAGCAAGAGCUGCAAUCUUCUGUACGUGCUGCACAGAGGAUUUUUUUUUUUUUUUUUUUUUGAAUGCUUAAAUCUUAACAGCUGGUAGAUGGUGUGGUUUACACUUUCCCACAAACAGAGUUAAUCUCUCUGAGCCUUAGACAUGUUCAGCUUAAAGGUACGUUUGAGCUUUUCUCCAAGAUUGCUGCUAUGCGCUGGGAGAGAACCGCGUAUCUCCAAAGAGAGGCAGUCUCCUGUUUUCAGAUAUCCAAGGGCAAGAGAAUGGAUGUAGGGCAGACAUAAAUUUCGGUUUUCAAAGUGGUACGAGGGGAGCUUGCUGCUCCCUUCAUACAAAUCAAAAGUGACGCUGAAAUUCUACAAAAUCUGUAAUACAACCCAAAGAUAUUAUGCUUCUUUACAAAUUGUGUUUGAUAAACAAAAGCGUGUACUAGGCCAAACAGUUACACAUCUCAUCAAGAUCGUCCCAGAUCCAAAAUCACAAAGUUCUUCUUUUAUGAAGAGUUUUCUUUAAUAAGGUUGUGUCUUUAUGCAUUCUGAACGCCUGCAUGCUGCAGCUACAGCCUGUUGGCUCAUCUGGUGAUGCAGUGCUUUCAGAGACCUGGAGGUGACAUCAGUCAGAAAAUCACAGUCCAAGUAAGGUUCAUCUUCACGGCCAGCUACCAGAGUUCUUUGAAGGGGAGGUUUAGGUUGGAUAUUAGGUUGGAUAUUAGGAAGAAGUUUUUCACACAGAGGGUGGUGACGCACUGGAACAGGUUGCCCAGAGAGGUUGUGGACGCCCCAUCCCUGGA